AAAGGGAGCUGGAUGGUCGCCCCCCUGGUUAGAUUUGCGAAGCAAAUCUAGGGGGGAGGAAAGUCCGAGCUCCACAGGGCAGCGNNGACGUGAAACGCGGCAAUCUCUACGCGGAGCAAGGCCAAACGUCUCGCUUCUCGGGUGGCCCGCCCGAGUCCCCGCCUGACGGCGGGGCGGUGAGGAGGUAGGCCGCAGGAGCUCCGUUGCAAAGCGGGGCCAAGAUGGAUGGCCAUCACUCCCAUACUUUCCUGCCCCUCUCACGAGGGGAAAGUAGCAUGGGGGCACAGAACUCGGCUUACAGGCUCCCUUUCGGU
Molecule: RNase P RNA, 314 nt
Filed under: Candidatus Omnitrophota bacterium
Lineage: Bacteria; Pseudomonadati; Candidatus Omnitrophota
Description: Candidatus Omnitrophica bacterium RNase P RNA component class A
Rfam family: Bacterial RNase P class A
About the family: Ribonuclease P (RNase P) is a ubiquitous endoribonuclease, found in archaea, bacteria and eukarya as well as chloroplasts and mitochondria.
Source: RNAcentral